This 549-nucleotide ribosomal RNA is filed under the name uncultured bacterium. RNAcentral's name for it is "bacterial SSU rRNA". It matches the Rfam family "Bacterial small subunit ribosomal RNA", at positions 355 to 895 of the family's 1533-position model. The record is from RNAcentral.
UAGGGAAUCUUCGNCAAUGGACGGAAGUCUGACCGAGCAACGCCGCGUGAGUGAAGAAGGUUUUCGGAUCGUAAAGCUCUGUUGUAAGAGAAGAACGAGUGUGAGAGUGGAAAGUUCACACUGUGACGGUAUCUUACCAGAAAGGGACGGCUAACUACGUGCCAGCAGCCGCGGUAAUACGUAGGUCCCGAGCGUUGUCCGGAUUUAUUGGGCGUAAAGCGAGCGCAGGCGGUUAGAUAAGUCUGAAGUUAAAGGCUGUGGCUUAACCAUAGUAGGCUUUGGAAACUGUUUAACUUGAGUGCAAGAGGGGAGAGUGGAAUUCCAUGUGUAGCGGUGAAAUGCGUAGAUAUAUGGAGGAACACCGGUGGCGAAAGCGGCUCUCUGGCUUGUAACUGACGCUGAGGCUCGAAAGCGUGGGGAGCAAACAGGAUUAGAUACCCUGGUAGUCCACGCUGUAAACGAUGAGUGCUAGGUGUUAGACCCUUUCCGGGGUUUAGUGCCGUAGCUAACGCAUUAAGCACUCCGCCUGGGGAGUACGACCGCAAGGUU